Molecule: long non-coding RNA, 674 nt
Organism: Pygocentrus nattereri (red-bellied piranha)
Lineage: Eukaryota; Metazoa; Chordata; Actinopteri; Characiformes; Serrasalmidae
Exons: 4
Source: RefSeq, a predicted model, not a curated record
CCCUGAAAGGAAGUGAAAGCAAAAGACGAGGCAUAAAAUCCUGCGCAGUCUGUGAAAACCUGCACAUACACUCCAUUCCCGUGGCCACAGGUGAGCUGAUACAGAACAAAAGAAAAAUGAACUUCUGCAAGUGUCACGUGUCACAUUGUCACAAUUGCGGUGGAAAACAACAAGAAGGCAUGAUGGUCCCAUAUAACACUCAAAUGCAAGUGUGCCAGCCAGGACCGUCCAACAUGAUGUCAGAAAUGUUCAGCGACCCCAAGGAGGAGGCAGAAAUUUCUGUUACGCAGAGUAAGUGGAUCAUUGUGCAGACUUCUUCUGGACUCCGGCGAGUCCGGGUCACCAAUAAAAUUCAUUACUCAUACUGAACUUCUGAAGAAACACCACGAGUGCUGAGUUCCAGCUUCACCUGCUGUGAUGUCAGAUCUCUCAGUUGUUUUUGACUUUUAAAGACCCAUUAAAGAGUGAAGGGAUUGUGUCUGUGUUAUUCCAUGGUGUCUGUGGGACCUCGUAUCAUUUACAUUAAGCAGUAAUUUACUGUCAUGCUACUUAAUAAUGUAUACAUGUUUCUUUAUUAAUAGGUUUUAUAGUAACUCUAAUCAGAAUCUUUCUGGUAAUGAAUUGGGCCCUUUUACUCAUUACACUUAAAUAAACAACAUUCCUGAAAAACAUCA